GAUGAACGCUAGCGGCAGGCCUAACACAUGCAAGUCGAGGGGCAGCACAGGAAAGUAGUAAUACUUUUGGGUGGCGACCGGCGGACGGGUGCGUAACGCGUAUACAACCUGCCUUCUACUGGGGGAUAAUUCGGAGAAAUCUGGUCUAAUACCCCAUAACAACCGAUGAGGCAUCUCAUUGGUUUAAAAGCUCCGGCGGUAGAAGAUGGGUAUGCGUGACAUUAGAUAGUUGGUGGGGUAACGGCUCUCCAAGUCGACGAUGUCUAAGGGGACUGAGCGGUUAACCCCCAACACUGGUACUGAGACACGGACCAGACUCCUACGGGAGGCAGCAGUGAGGAACAUUGGUCAAUGGACGCAAGUCUGAACCAGCCAUGCCGCGUGCAGGAAGACGGCUCUAUGAGUUGUAAACUGCUUUUGUACGAGGGUAAAGUGGGCUACGUGUAGCCUUUUGAAAGUAUCGUACGAAUAAGGAUCGGCUAACUCCGUGCCAGCCGCCGCGGUAA
This 506-nucleotide ribosomal RNA is filed under the name uncultured bacterium. RNAcentral describes it as "partial 16S ribosomal RNA". It matches the Rfam family "Bacterial small subunit ribosomal RNA", at positions 28 to 523 of the family's 1533-position model. The record is from RNAcentral.